CACUACUCCUCUAGUACUUCUCAAGUACUUUGAGAUUGUAUUUCAUUGUUUUUCAAAAGAUCCUAUCAUGGAUCUAUCUGAAAUCAAUGAUUAUGCACAAGGCAUAAAUCACAUUAAGCUUAGUACAUUGAAUAUAUGGGUAAGUAAACUCCUUUACACCCAUUCAUGUUGAACCCUUUCAACUUAAAUUCUAUGUACCU
This 200-nucleotide long non-coding RNA is filed under the name Elaeis guineensis (African oil palm). RNAcentral describes it as "long non-coding RNA (EGUI_LNC046093)". Lineage: Eukaryota; Viridiplantae; Streptophyta; Magnoliopsida; Arecales; Arecaceae. The record is from RNAcentral.